UAGCAGCAGCCGCGGUAAUACAGAGGGUGCGAGCGUUAAUCGGAUUUACUGGGCGUAAAGCGUGCGUAGGCGGCUUCUUAAGUCGGAUGUGAAAUCCCUGAGCUUAACUUAGGAAUUGCAUUCGAUACUGGGAAGCUAGAGUAUGGGAGAGGAUGGUAGAAUUCCAGGUGUAGCGGUGAAAUGCGUAGAGAUCUGGAGGAAUACCGAUGGCGAAGGCAGCCAUCUGGCCUAAUACUGACGCUGAGGUACGAAAGCAUGGGGAGCAAACAGGAUUAGAUACCCCAGUAGUCCCUGUCUCUUAUAC
This 304-nucleotide ribosomal RNA is filed under the name uncultured bacterium. RNAcentral's name for it is "partial 16S ribosomal RNA". It matches the Rfam family "Bacterial small subunit ribosomal RNA", at positions 506 to 807 of the family's 1533-position model. The record is from RNAcentral.